RNAcentral lists this unclassified non-coding RNA (373 nucleotides) under fungal sp. Its description in RNAcentral is "partial internal transcribed spacer region". The stretch from base 1 to 46 matches the Rfam family "Eukaryotic small subunit ribosomal RNA", at positions 1786 to 1831 of the family's 1831-position model. Lineage: Eukaryota; Fungi. The record is from RNAcentral.
AAGUCGUAACAAGGUAACCGUAGGUGAACCUGCGGUUGGAUCAUUAAUAAAAUGACAAUGCAAACAGGGGUUUAGGGACAUUCUCCCUGCUCUCCUGCGUCUCACGCAAGUGAGUCGGCAAACCUCUUGUGAACUGUUCCAGUCUCUGGCGGAUGGGUAUUUGCAGCUGUCUGGCUGCGUACCUGCCAGCGUAGUUUGGAAAUGUGCGUUAUCUUUUCGACAGUGCAUAUUCCGACUACGCCGUGGGCAAGCCGCCAAAAGUGUCGAAAAACCAUUGUAUUUUGUAUUUGUCUGACCUUUUUCUCAGCGUAUUUGCGCAUUUGCAACAAUACCAUGAAAAAAACAACUUUUGGCAACGGAUCUCUUGGCUCUC